UCCAAUGCCUCACCCGAUGCCUCGGGCCUUGAUCACGAACCUCCUUCAAAAAUAUAAUACGUCGGGGCAUUCUCUGGUGAAUAAAUACAUAAAACCUCGGGGCAUUACCCGGCCAAAUGAAUACACUUGAAUCAAAUACGAUAAACUAGAAAGAAACAUUCACACUCACAUACAAACAUUCAACCAAAACACAAGUUCUAAAUUUGCCUACCCGAACCUAUAUUUGCCUAUCCAUUUCAACAUAUAAUAAUUCUAUCAUGUUCCAACAAUACUUAUGCUCAUUCCGAAUUGAACGAGACAACACUAAACCAAAGUUAAUCUAAAUUCACCCAGUUUUACCAAUUUCUCAAUUCCGCCUCAAAUUCACUUUUAAUGUUAAAUUUCCACAAAUCAUGAUUUCUAUUUCAACAAUCCACAAUCACUUUUCAACAAAAUUAAGCAACAAAUCAAUAUCAAAGUAGCAAUUCAUCACCAAUCCAAAUCAAACAACACACGAGAUUCCAUUCAAUGCACCAUAUUCCAUCAACAAUGAAAUAAAAAGAGGAAAAGAGUAGAAAUGAACCUCAAUGAUGAUUUUAUUCCAAAUAUCAGUCAAUCAAGAAGACGAAUCCGCGUGCCAAAAAAUCUCGAUUCAAACCUCAACAACGAACCAAUAGGAAAUUCACAACUCGACUGACCAACCCAAAAUAUAGCAAACCCCAAAACAAUUUCACACCAAUGAGACCUAGAUAGAAAAUGAACGUUCGGAACCUUGAUGCUACUGACCCGUUAGUACCCUCGCCAUUUUUCUCAGUUACAGGUGAUGGAGAUGGAUUGAACUCACUGAUUUACUUGUUUUUUGGCAGAUACCGACCGUUUUUUGGUGAAUAUCACUGGAGUCAGACCGCAACAGAUCGGUUCAGUCGAUUUAGGACUAAUUUUGCUAAUUACGGCGAGUUCUCACCAAUUUCAAUGGGUUACCCGAUCGAGUUUUCGCUAUUUUCUGGUGAAGAGAAGGUCGUUGGAACAGUGACACGAUGGAAACUGCUGUUUCUCUCCUCUCUCUCUCCCGCAUCUCAGUUUCUCCAACUAGAUUUCUCCGAUCGAUUGUGCGUCUCCUAGAAGAAGAAAAUCAAAAAUGGAUCCCGUUUCUCCCCCUCAAUCUUCUCUCUCAAUCUACUCCAUUUUUUGUGUACGUAGAAGAAUGAAGCUUUUUGUGGGAAUUCUGUGGAGCAGUGAGGAUGAGUCUACAUUUAUAUAAGGUCUAUGAUGAAGAUAGUGGAUGAGUGUGUGCUCUCUGUGUGCGUGUAUGUGAAUAUUGGUGAAUAAGGAGCCAAAAAUGGAGGUCUUCGUGGCUAUGGUUAAUUGAGAGUCUCUCUUCCAAAUCCCUGGAAAAUGCUCUCUUAUGGAAAAAGAAGCCCUCCUUCUGAAAAAGAUCCCCCCCUGUAUUAUUAUCUAGUGUGUAUAUAUCCUUAGUUGAAGGGGAAAAAAAUGUGAUCAAGAGGGGGUAAGUGGAUGGGGUAACGUGGGUUAGGGGGUGAGGUAGGUGGUUAGGAUAAGGUAGAGGGUGUUGAGAUUUAAUUGGUUGAGUAGUUAGCUUAUUAUUUUUUGUAUUUUUGUGAGAUAUAAUCACAUAGGUGAGGGCACGCAGUAAGACGAGGGUAAAAUGGUAAAAAUGUUUUCAGGGAGGGACAAAAUUACGUGUCUACAGGUGAGGUUCAUUUUUUA
RNAcentral lists this long non-coding RNA (1707 nucleotides) under Capsicum annuum. RNAcentral describes it as "long non-coding RNA (CANN_LNC003431)". The record is from RNAcentral. Lineage: Eukaryota; Viridiplantae; Streptophyta; Magnoliopsida; Solanales; Solanaceae.